CCCUUAGAUGCCCUGGGCUGCACGCGCGCUACACUGAUGUGAGCAACAAGUAUAUUUUCUUGCCUGAAAUGGUGUGGCAAUCUAGAAACUGCAUCGUGAUGGGGCCUGUUCAUUGUCAUUAUUGAUCUUAAACGAGGAAUUCCUAGUAAGCACAAAUCAUCAGUUUGUGCUGAUUAUGUCCCUGCCCUUUGUACACACCGCCCGUCGCUCCUACCGAUUGAGUGUUCCGGUGAAGCCUCCGGAUUGGCGCGCACCUCGGUGCCGCCGAGAAGUUGGCUAAACCUUACCAUUUAGAGGAAGGUGAAGUCGUAACA
Molecule: ribosomal RNA, 314 nt
Filed under: uncultured eukaryote
Lineage: Eukaryota
Description: partial 18S ribosomal RNA
Rfam family: Eukaryotic small subunit ribosomal RNA
Source: RNAcentral